RNAcentral lists this ribosomal RNA (30 nucleotides) under Tulasnella sp. Ag3a. RNAcentral describes it as "Epulorhiza sp. Ag3a partial 18S ribosomal RNA". The record is from RNAcentral. Lineage: Eukaryota; Fungi; Basidiomycota; Agaricomycetes; Cantharellales; Tulasnellaceae.
UCCGUAGGUGAAACCUGCGAAGGAUCAUAG